This 393-nucleotide ribosomal RNA is filed under the name uncultured bacterium. RNAcentral describes it as "partial 16S ribosomal RNA". It matches the Rfam family "Bacterial small subunit ribosomal RNA", at positions 523 to 918 of the family's 1533-position model. The record is from RNAcentral.
AUACGGAGGAUCCGAGCGUUAUCCGGAUUUAUUGGGUUUAAAGGGAGCGUAGGCGGAGGAUCAAGUCAGCUGUGAAAUGUAGACGCUCAACGUCUGCACUGCAGUUGAAACUGGUCCCCUUGAGUGCGUAAGGGGCAGGCGGAAUUCGUCGUGUAGCGGUGAAAUGCUUAGAUAUGACGAAGAACUCCGAUCGCGAAGGCAGCUUGCCGGGCCGCAACUGACGCUGAAGCUCGAAGGUGCGGGUAUCGAACAGGAUUAGAUACCCUGGUAGUCCGCACAGUAAACGAUGGAUACUCGCUGUCGGCGAUAUACGGUCGGUGGCCAAGCGAAAGCGUUAAGUAUUCCACCUGGGGAGUACGCCGGCAACGGUGAAACUCAAAGGAAUUGGCGGGG